This 512-nucleotide ribosomal RNA is filed under the name Fusarium solani. Its description in RNAcentral is "eukaryotic LSU rRNA". The stretch from base 171 to 324 matches the Rfam family "5.8S ribosomal RNA". The record is from RNAcentral. Lineage: Eukaryota; Fungi; Ascomycota; Sordariomycetes; Hypocreales; Nectriaceae.
ACCAGCGGAGGGAUCAUUACCGAGUUAUUCAACUCAUCAACCCUGUGAACUUACCUAAACGUUGCUUCGGCGGGAAUAGACGGCCCUGUAAAACGGGCCGCCCCCGCCAGAGGACUCUUAACUCUGUUUCUUAUAAUGUUUCUUCUGAGUAAAACAAGCAAAUAAAUUAAAACUUUCAACAACGGAUCUCUUGGCUCUGGCAUCGAUGAAGAACGCAGCGAAAUGCGAUAAGUAAUGUGAAUUGCAGAAUUCAGUGAAUCAUCGAAUCUUUGAACGCACAUUGCGCCCGCCAGUAUUCUGGCGGGCAUGCCUGUUCGAGCGUCAUUACAACCCUCAGGCCCCCGGGCCUGGCGUUGGGGAUCGGCGGAGCGCCCCUCGUGGGCGCACGCCGUCCCCCAAAUACAGUGGCGGUCCCGCCGCAGCUUCCAUCGCGUAGUAGCUAACACCUCGCGACUGGAGAGCGGCGCGGCCACGCCGUAAAACACCCCAACUCUUCUGAAGUGACCUCGAAU